UACGGGGGGGGCAAGCGUUGUUCGGAAUUACUGGGCGUAAAGGGCGCGUAGGCGGUUCGCUAAGUUGGAUGUGAAAACUCUGGGCUCAACCCAGAGCCUGCAUCCAAAACUGGCGGGCUAGAGUUCUGGAGGGGGUAGCGGAAUUCCUGGUGUAGCGGUGAAAUGCGUAGAUAUCAGGAGGAACACCGGUGGCGAAGGCGGCUAUCUGGACAGAAACUGACGCUGAGGCGCGAAAGCUAGGGGAGCAAACAGG
This 253-nucleotide ribosomal RNA is filed under the name uncultured bacterium. RNAcentral's name for it is "partial 16S ribosomal RNA". It matches the Rfam family "Bacterial small subunit ribosomal RNA", at positions 524 to 776 of the family's 1533-position model. The record is from RNAcentral.